GAGGAGCUCUCAAAUCAAGUUCAACAUUUGCCUUGAUGCCCUUUUAAAACAUAGAAAACAACACUGACACAAAAACCCAUAAAGAGACAUGUUUAUACCUUAAUGGUGGUAACACUGGUGAGUGACUGUAGUGUGCAGUACCUCAACACUUAAGAAAUCAAACCAAAGUCAAUAGCCUUUGCGUUUACCUUGCUUUUUUAGACCUGAAAUGGUAGUUUCUAACAUACAAGCGUCUCUUGCCUGUCACUCAUCUCUUUAUUAAACAUCCGCCCCAUUUCCCUCCUUCCCUGUCAUGUGCUUGAUGCCCCAUUAACUAGGCUGUCCUUCAGCUCCCUUGGCACCCAGUCUCCUUACAGGACAUUUAACCAUUGCCGUCCUUCACUCCAGUCUCCCUUUUUUCUCAUUAUCUAUUUUGAUAGAUGUAGAAUUGAUGUAAAAUAUACAGAUAGGCACACAGUGGUCUCAGUGUCUAGUGUUUUUUCAAACACUGUAAGCAAUAUAUUCACAAACAAUAACGCCAGUCCCAAAGCCCAAAUGAAGGUCACAAUUCAUAUUUGCAUGUGUGUAUGAGAGCACAGGGGCUGACUCUGGCCCAGAUUCACCAGGGCAGUGGGGUAGUGUGCCAACAUGUCAGUUCAUGAGCACACAGGAAAGAACAGUGUUUAUACAGGCAGUCAGAAAAUAGCAAGAAAAAGGUCAGGAAAGUACUCCAGUGGGAGUGGAAUUAUGCAGGGCCGUGGUAUGUGCUUGGACUAAGGAAAAGUGAGGUCCAGUCAAACUCUUGACAACCUCUUUUCAGCCCUUCAAUUACUUAUAGAAGUUCAUUUGUGAAAAGUAUCAAGAACGUGUUUCAAAAACAUUUUCAAUCAGAGAUAUUUCUUCUUGUGUCAAUGAAACAAGCAACAAGGUCAAUUUCUUACAACCACCUUAUAACAAAAAGAUGACUUGUUUCAUCGUCCUUUUUACACAACUCAUCGGUAAUAUCAGGAGUGAAGCAGAGAUAUGCAUGUUUGAAUACAAAGUAUAAAACUCUACUCAUUUAGCAGAGUAAACAAUGGAGAGUAACACUAAAAUAUGACUCAAGCCUUUUAAGGUUAUCACACGUAACCAGCUUUACAAAAUGUCCACCCCAUCAGACUUCCCUUUUUCUUAAAUCCCACCCUCUUUACACAUAACUAUUCUCCUGGAAUUUUCUCUUUGUUUUUUUAAGUCAGCAUGUCGUGUAUUACUCUUCCUUUGCAGUCUUCUUGUUCUUCUGUGUCUCAAAACCAGAAAGAAACGUUCUCCCAGCCCCCAAAGGAUUACAGCUCUGUGUAUUGUUGUCUUGCCUUGUGCAGCUUUAUUAUUAUCACACUUUCUAUCAUUUCUCUCUGCAUGCUGCUGCUGCUCCCAAGUCCUGAACUCAUCUAAUGCAGAAGAGUAACUUCUGUGAUAAUAUGCAAUGACUGAGUGUAUGUAAACCACAUAAACAGAAGAACUUGAGUAUAAGAUCGGCUGACAGAUUAAAAAAUAUCCUUUAUAACUUUUAUUGCACUAAUUCACUGCCUAUAAUCUCUUUUAAAUAAAAUAGUUUUUUCUAUAUUAUAUUUAAGUUUGAAAUGUAAGAUACAUUAAUGUGGUGUUUGUUUUUUCCCUUGACCUCCAUGUUGUUAUGCUUAAGAUAAAGUAGGAUAAAUAAAAACUCUACAACCCAUGUGAACAAACAAAAUCUUGUAUUUUUGGACUACAAACUAAAGUGACCUGUGACAAUUAAACACAAUGUUCGGAUCCAUUCAGCAAAACUGCAAUGUUCUGAGUUUUUUUAUUUUUAUAUUUCCCCAUUACUAACAGACAAAAGGAAGAGUACCCUGUGUACCUUUUGUCAAGGACACUCCAAUAAAGAUCUUUUUAGGGGGAUGAAGCCUCGCAUUAAAAUUACACUUUUCUUCCAGGGGUUAUCGUCUCCAUCUUUCAUAACGCUCCCCUUGUUAUUGCAACACACUGUUAUUACUACUACCACUGUUCAGGAUCUAAUACAGCUGAGCUUGUCUUCCUUUAAAAUGGAAACUUGUGGUCAAUAUGUGCUUGCCUCAUUUUCAUAUAUCGGUUGAGUCUCACGAGAUAAGACAACAAAAUCAAAACACAGAGAGGAGCCCGUUUUAGACACGUGUAAUGAAAAAAUCACUUCACUUUAAUGGGAAGAUGAUGGAGAAGAAGUGUGGUCAGUAGGAGAGAGAGCGCAGGAGAGCUGUAAUGAGCGACAUAACAGCAGACAGUACUUGUUUAGCAUUGUAAAUGAGCAGCAAAGCAAGCAGCAAAUUUAUGGAGGGUCAGGUGUGCCUGUUCAGCAGUAAUAGGCAAUGAGGGCGCUCUAACCAGCCCCCUGUCUAACGCAAGCAUGCACGUCCGGAGAGCAGCAGGACAUGGCAGACGUGCUGGAACUCUCAGGCUUGAAAUUACAGUAAAAAUGUGGGAUGAUGGCUGGUAUAUCUUUGUCAGACACAGCCCUGUGUGUGUGUGUGUCUGCAUGCGUUGGUGCUGAUAAAUACUCAGUUAAGGCUGGAUGAGGCUCCGCAAAGGCACUGAGAGGUCAGCUCGGGGUUGUUAAACAGGCAUCUGCUCACAUUUUCACUUUAACUUCACUUCCAGCACAGUUUCUUCCUUUUCAGAGGGAGAAAAACUGCAAACAGAGAAAAAAAACAGUGUAAAAGCAUUGAUUGAUGUCUCUUGAAUCAGCAUCUGUUUGGCCUGAAGACUGCAAGUUCUAAAACUAAGUGUGGAGUGUGACUAAUUAAGCUGGCCAGACCUUUUGAACCCACUCCAAAUUUUUUGAUUCAGGCUAGCGGCUUUAGGCUACAACAGUAUAUCCAGUACAAGAGUUUUACUGUUAAUGAGGGACCAGAAACCCUUACUCUUCUCAAAUCAGAUUCAAGUUCACUCGCAUAAAACUGCAGGAAAGAAACAUAUAGCUCAUCUAAAGUUUGUUAAGGAGACCCUUUCGCCCACUCUGUCAGCUCCGAGGUAACACAUUUACGCUCUAGUAAAUUCUGAAAAACUCUUCUGUUUUCUAUUUCCCCAGUUACUCCCUGUUUAAACCCUAACAACCUCCAAAUAACUCAUAAUUUACUCAACAUCCUUAAGGUUGAGGAUUGGUCCCUAAUGAGACGCCCCCCAGUAAAUCCUUGUAAACACCCAAGUAAAUCACAAUUCAUUCUCUGUUGACUCCCAGGUAAUUUCUCAUUAACUCCCCAGUUACCUCCACAGUAAAUUCCUGUAAACCAUCUAGUAUCUCCAUGGAAAGGGUCUGACUACUUUGUAACGACUCUCUAGCGGUGUGAUGCUCUAAUUUGUCAUGACUAAAUGAUGAGGAUUGCGUAAAUGGUAGGCAAGCUGACAACAAAAACUGUCUGUUCAUAAAUGCUCCGACAAAUAAUCGCUUCAAAUUCUUACCUCCUCCAUUCAUCCUAUUUAUUGUCACUGAAUGAGUUCCUGCCUGGUGUAUGUCUGUUUACAGUCUCUGGUGGGAAGCCAAAUCUAGUUUGAACUCUCAUGAAAAGCCCUGAGGAAAAAAAAAAAACAUAAAUAAAAAUAAAAACAUUAAGAAGGACACCACAUGAACCCAACCCCCAGAGUGUCUGCCCAGGUAAAUAACAACAAUAUAUGAUGAUCGACUGACAUGAACAAACAAUAACUCUCUAAUGUUUACUACACACAGAUUUCUUUGUGUAAUAGGAUCUCUGUUGAGUUGCACUAUCAUAGCAUUCUUUGGCAAAGUAGCAAAGUUCAACACAACAACUGUUAGCGAUUUGCAUGUCAUGUGAUAUAAACUGAUCUUUAACUUUUAACAGAUUCAAGCCGUAUUAUGGUAGAUUUUAAAAUAUGAUUUAUGAUUUCUUCAGACUCAUACAGAGUCGGUCAAAUGUAGCUCCAUGUAAUGAAGAGAGAAUUUGUGCUUUUAAAAUGUGACUUAUUGCACUUUUUAAAACAAGUUUUUGAUAUUCAUUUUCGUCUAUGGCAUGAGGAAGUAUGAUAAGUAUGAUACUUGAACAUCUCUAACCAAGAUGACCAGACACUGAAAGUUUUACAACCAGGAGGAAUAUACUUGAUUCUGAUUGGUCAAUACUCCAGAAAAAUAGUCUGCUAUUUCUUCAUAGCAGACUGUUGCUAAGGAUGUGUGCUGUCUCUGGUGGGCUGACUGUUAUCACAUCGAUUUGUAUACUUUAAACAACACGCCUAUGAUGCUUGGCUCCAACAAGCUUCCAAACCCACUCACGAUACAUCAUCCCAUACUCAGUAACUUUAGUAAAGGCUCAUUUCUGUUUAGAUGCUUUAAAGAAACCCUUUCCUGUAUGUUGAAGGAACAAAACUGUGUAGAAAGACAAACCACAAAAAUGCAUCAAACUUUCUUAUCCAGCUUGAGUGAGUCAUCACGCAACGAUUGCUGCUUCUUUAAUAUACAGCAUUACUCUUUUCUCUUUAAUCACUUUAUGCUCUUUAGUUCUGUGAAACUCACGUAAGCUCAUUUCUUGCUAUUUCAUUACCGCCUUUGUCUCUCUCCCUCCUCCUCUUACUUCAAAAUCUAAUCCCCUGUCCACCCAUGACACCAUCAGCAGGCCCAUCCUAAUUGCAGUGAGCAGCUCCUGCUGGCGAUUCUGCUGAGAGGCGGAAAAGCAAUGGAAGCAAAUGCUGUUUCUAUUGAUCAGCUAGUGUCUCUGUCCUCCCUCCAGCCGGCUGUGUUUACUGUUCCUGCUCAGAGGUCUGAUAUGUCAUAAGAUUUAGUGGCCGGGGUGCACAUAUUAGCCUCUGCGGACAGAAUUUCAGCAGUUGAACGGAGGAAAGCAUCGCUAUAAAUACAGGCUGUUCUCCUAACCAGACACCCACAGUCCUGGGCUUUAAACGUGGCCAUUAACUCCUGGCUUACAACACAAAGGCCAGUUUAUCAGAAGAUUCAAAUUAGAGUGUGAAAAAGAAUAAAUCAACAAGUGGGGAAGAGGAGAGGUUUGAUAUCGAGAGUCCUUUAUCUUGAGUGAGCGUACUAAGAGUCACAUGUUUCCCGUAUAUCCUCUCUUUUUAACUAAGCCUCCAAGUAUAUACUCUGACAGAUCACCUCACCUCUGGCGACAGCUAAUCUAUGUUAGUAAAUCAGAACGGGGCUAAGGCCAAACGAGAGCUGGGAUGGACUACAGGUGAUACCCUCCUAGUCUGCUCACCCUUGCAGCUCUCCACAGCCCAUCAAUACCUCUAAUAAUGAUGGAGGGUCGGUUAGAUUAGCUUUCCACACUGUUACCAUGUCCUAUCAGUCAAGGAGGCCGGUGGGACAGAGAAACGAAUGUUAGCUCAUCAAAGGGUUUGCAUUUGCAUAGAAGAAAAUGAAAAGACUGCAGAUCGUUAAGAAAGGGCGAUGUCCGGCUGUCCUCAGAGGUUAGUCCAGGACACGGAGCAGUAGUCCACAGCAGUGAUAACUUUGUGUGUAUGUAUGUGUGUAUCUCUGUCCUCUUUCUUGACCUUGACCUAUAUGUGUGUGUGUGUGUGUGUGUGUGUGUGUGUGUGUGUGUGUGUGUGUGUGUGUGUGUGUGUGUGUGUGUGUGUGUGUGUGUGUGUGUCUGCACAUAGUGGUUGGCCUCUCUUUUUCCAAGAGUACGACAGACAGAUGAAGUUGGAAAUUAAGAGUUCUGACAUCUCAUCAAAAGUUAUUAAGGUCAGAGUUCGAGGGAGAGACCGGUUCGGUUAUUGCCUUUCUUUACAUCCCCUCUUCACCUCAAGGUGGGGAGGGAGGUGAGGGAAUAAAGACUGAGGUCAGAUAGCACAUAUACUUAUUCCAAUACCAACUUGGACACCCCUUUAAAACUAAUUUAAUUUUGAAAAUGUUACAACGCUAUUAGAAAAACACUGAAAGCUGACAGUUUGCCAGCUUUGGGUAUAGCAUUACAAUCUCCACUGGUCCUGUGUUGUUGUUUGUAUUUGUUUGGCACAGUAGUAAUAAAAUAGCUUUAUUCAUAAUGCAACUCUCAAAACCAGAGUUAUGAGGUUUUUACAAAAGAGGGGACUGAGCCAACGAAAACAGUUAUAUAAUGAUAUUUGAAUAACAAGAAUAAAGAUGACGAAUGAAUAAGUAAAAAUAGUGCACCAGUUAUGAGAAGGCCCUAGAAAAGGGAAUUCCUGAAUUUUGGGACCUGAUCGGGGAGGACAUGAUCGGCUUAGGUUACAAAGCAAAAUUUAGGAUCCUGUCAGAAAAUCUCAAUAGAGAUCAGGUGCAUAAAAAAGUAGAAAAACACAAAAAUAAGACAGUGCCUGACCAUACAAAACAAACAAUAAAAUCUUGAAUUCAGGCCAGAAGUUUUUCAGUGAAGGUCAGCAAGAACUGGAGUCAUGCCUUCACUUUUUCUUGAAAGGGUUGAAAGUCAAGCAACAGUAUUUUGGGUAAACCGAAGCCUACAGUAUGAAUGCUUCCCUCACUAAUUUUCUCUCCUCGAAAUAAUUACCUCUUACUCCAGUACAACUCUCACUGAACUCACCUCUAACUUCCCCAAAACUCCCCUGUAAAGUUCCCCUCAAACCUUGAACUCUCCUCUAACUAAACUGGAACUCUCCUCCCCUCAAACUCCCCUCUGCAGAGCCCCUAAUUUGCCCAUUUGGGUGUCAGAUACUUGAACUUGUAAGUUCUCUAAUCAGGUAAGUUUAACAGGUCCACUUUGUACAAAUUUUCAGCUGUCUUUAAACAGUACAAGUCCUCUUAUGAAGGAUUACUGAUCUGAGAUAGAGUUCCUGAUUUGGAUGAGCUGUGAUGAGACAUGUGCCAGCUCUGCCAACUAACCCAGAGGUCUGUUCAUUUCCAAAUGUCUCUUCAUUGUACAACUUGUAAUUAACUUAAAUCACACAGUUCAUAGAUUGUAGAUCUAAAAUGAAGCUGAACUUUUCAACAUAAGCCAAAUUAAUAUAGUGCUGCUUACAUCUUCCUCAGCUUGUAGUGUUUCCUUGCAAUCCCCUGUUAAAUUACACAAGUGUCAAGAUGACAUAGUUAAUCCACUGAGCUGUUCUCGUGAGAAUCAUCCAUGGGCUAAUCGUCCUUCAAAGAAUAAUUGCAGUCAUUUAAAAGUAAAUCAUGAACAGUGUUUGAUAAUAUGAGUUCAUUUUCCCUGUAGACUAUUUCCUUGUGGUCCUCCUUUGUGCCUUUGGCAAGGACUAUGUGGACCCUUUUAAUCCCCCAUGUUUGUUUGGCUGGGGUCUUAUCCUUUUGUGCUUUAUCUAUACAAAAAACAAAUCUUUAGCAGCUGUUAAAAUAAUAUAUUCACAAAAUAUUAUAAAUAAAGAAAUGAAUUAAUUCAGUCUGGCAAAACAUUUAGCUUCUGGCUUUCACAUUCAUCUUUACAAACAGCUCUGUCCGGCUGCUCUCGCCAUGUGUUUCACGCUACCAGCUAACUGAUGUAAGCAGCUGCUACGCUAACCACGCCGAUCUUAGUUUUGCAUGCUAUUGUGCUAAUAUAUUCAAUUUAGCACUUCACAUAUGCCAAUACUGAUGGAAAUGUCAUUAGUUUAUGACUGAAAUUUGAGGUGUAAGGGUAAAAAUAAGGUAACGGUCUUAAUCCACAUAGUAGUCGUCCAAACCUGUUCUGAAACUUCAAAGUUACAACCUCUUGUGCCACAAUGAGAAUAUUCAAGGAAUCGAAAUAUUGAAUCAGUGUCACCUUCAACACAAAUUAUUCAACCACCACUAAAACGAUGUGAUCCUGAUGGAAUGUCAAUGUUGGAUGAAUGUCACCUUGUCAUUUGGGACCUGAAUCAUCAGUGAAAGCUCAGGAUACAAAUCGACUCAUGUCUCGGAGACAUGAGACACGUUUUCAACACCUUAUUUGGUUUUUAUAUCAUUGGACAUACUUCUUUUCUGAAAUUUUUAUAACCACUAACUCCUAUCUGGGGAGCCAUUUAGACACAGACCCAAUCUUUUUUGGUAUUCUAGCGUCCUUUUUUUAAACAUUUUUAGUGUGUGACAGUCACACAAAUGUCCAGAUUAAACCUCUUGGCAAGUUACUGAGCAAAUGUCAGGACAUCUCCUAAAAUGUUCACUGUAAACUUCCCGGAGAAUGAGUGUUAAGUCAAGGAAACAAAGAAGUCUUAGGAAUUAAAAAAUGAAUCUACAUUUAUACUUUCCACUGAUGUACCUAACUGUUGUUUAAAAUCUUUCAGUCUAAGCUGUCUAUAACUCAAAGCUGACUCUUCAUUCAGGACUGCACAUUAGAUCCUCAGACUAGAAAAUCUGUGGAAGUUGUUUUCUAGUUACUUAGAUUUCAAUUUGUCCUCAUUUUCAGUCUCUUUCUCUUAUUCUCCAACCUUGAAUCUAUUUUUCUCGCUCUGAAUCCAUCUCCCCAUCAAUCUGUCCUUACAGAGGCCAAUCAGGUGAACAGAGAGAUGUUUACUAAGGAGCAGCCCAUAGCUCCAUAAAAGCGUCACACACAGUCAGGAUUGUCGGCCUGGAGUGACGGAUUAUAUCAGGCCUCCCUGCCGGAAUAAAUAGAGGCAUUAGCAGCUCUACAGCUGGCCUGUGCUGCUGCAGAGGCUUACUGGCCUAUGAAAUGUGCAGCAUGGCAGUGUCCUGGGCCUCGCCACACUGUGAUGAAUAGCUUAUAUUCCAGAGUAAAGCAUAUUAAAGUCAGAUUGUAUGAUGGAUAGCAGGCGGUAGACAGAAGAAAAGGGAGAUAGGGAGGUAGAAGAGGGAGGAUUAAGGAAGUGGGGAGAGAGUGUUUGAUGAAAUAUGUAAAGGGAGGAAAUUAAAUCCCAAAAAUAUCAAAACCCCCCCCCUCUACCUUCCAUUUCCUGUGACAGAUGAAGAAAGCAGAGGUAAUUUUGAAUAUUUAAUAAGUCCCCUUUAGGCCCCUGGACAGUAUCUAGUCUGUGAAGCAGUAUUUGAAACAAAUACUGCUUUACAUAUACUUAAGGUGCGCUCCUAAAGGUAAUAAUCAAACUAAUCUGUGUCCCAUAAAUCUUUCCAAGGUCGCCUCUCACAAAGCGUCGUCUUUGUGUGAAUUAAUCUCCAAGAAACUUUAAGUGACACAAAAAAAUUCUUUAAAGUUUUGAGUAAAGAAAAAUGAAAAACUUGGAGCACUUUCAUUGUAAAAAAAAACAACAACAACAAAAAAACACUGAAAAUUUCUUGAACUCAACUGAGCAGCUUUGGAGCAAAUGUGGAUGCAUUCAGAUUUUAGCUCACACUCAGUCUCUUCUUUAAACUUUUUAGCAUGUGCACAAGAUGUUUGUUAAGUUUUAAAAUUCAAAAGUCCAUUAGCAACAUGACUGUGUUUUUCAUAAAUUUUCAUGCUUGAAACUGCUGACAGGGGGGAUUCAGACCAUAUUUACUUAAACAGCAAAUAUUUACGAUAGGUGGCACACACUGACAAAAAGCAGGAUCAUAAUGUUUUGCAGAAAAAUACGUCCUUGUUGUGUACAGGGAAAAAAAUUAGCAAAGAGAUGAGUUUGACAUAUUUGCCCACAGGGGUCAUCAAAUGAAGACAAAUCCAAGUUCUUUACAGCAGCAUUAGAUAAGUGUUUAUGUAUUUUUAGAAAAAGAUUUACUCACUUUUUCACCUCUUAAUUGCUGAGGAGAUGGGUGGCAUAUAUCGAAAUCCAUCAUGUCAUCAUCACCAACAAACAUGCAUUAGCUCAGCAGGUAGAGCAGUUGUCGAAUAACUGGAAGGUUGGCAGUUCGAUUCCCCCCUAUCCCUAGUCUGUCCGUUGUGUUUUUGGGCAAAACACUUAACCCACCUUGCUCCCAGUGUGUGUCCUCCACUGGUGUAUGAUUGUGUGUGUUGUGUGGUGGUGGUCGGAGAGGCUAUAGACACAAACUGGCAGCCAUGUUUCUGUUGGUCUGCCCCAGGGCAGCUGUGACUAUCAAGGUAGUUUAACACCACCAAAGUGAGACUGUGUGAGCGAAUGAAUGAUGUAUCCAAUGUAAAGCACUUUGAGGGUCUCUGAUAAAGCCCUAUGUAAAAUCUGAUGUAUCAUUAUUAUCAUUGUUUGUUGUCAAUGUCAAUGUUUGAAAGGCACACUGGGCUAAUGCUACUAAUACUGGUUCACAACAAGCCAUGGCUUCUGUAGGGGGCCUGGAACCAUCACAUGAAUUGAAAGACGAGCAAAAUCCUUUGACAGGUAAAUGGCUGAGUUAAGUAUCUUAAAAAACAUCCUCCAUAUAUACAAGUCUCCUGAAGUGCAUGUCAUUUGACUGCAGGCAUAAACAAUGGCAGACAAAUGAAAGAUUUCAAGCAGAAAGUGCAAGAUCCAAGUCUCCACCCCAUACAGCAGACAGUUUUCACUUUAUUUAAUAUUGUUAAAUAAAGAUUAGGUAAGCACUUCACAUCAUAGUAGUUGGCAUUAAUGCUGUAUACUUUUGUCCCCCUCUGGCAAGAAUCCACUGAAACUUGAUACCAGGCCUUUUCAACAAAGUGAGUCUUCCUCAUUCAUCCUGUGUGAAUAGCGGCGCUCCCUGCUGACAUAAAUCACUACAUUUUCUGAUGAGUCAGACUACAUGCUCACAGGGAGACUCUAUAGAAGUUUAUGAAGUUCUUACUGACUCCAAUAAUGGUCUGACAUAAAACAAGAUUAUUAAAUUUUAAUGUAAUGAAAGAUCCUGAAGUUAAUGAAUUCACACAUACCAGAAUUAGCAUUGGUCAAAUUAUUUCGAUAUGUAGUGUUGUUGAAAUUUAUAUUUCCUGCUCCAUCAUUAAUUCAGUAUGAAAAUGGUUCUAUUAAGAGGGUAAUUUCCCUUUUCAUUAGCUCUGCUGUCAUAGGCUAAUAAUUGCAUUUUACUGUGCUGGUGGGAUGUUGGCAUGAUGAGUGGACAUGUGUCAUGUUGGCUGGUGCAGAGCAGGACUGAUGGUGAAAAUGUGAUGCAGAAGCAGUUCUAGACAUGUCCUUUUCCGGCUCUGUGGAUAGAAAAUUUUGCACUCUACCAUAUCAAGUCAUUGAUGGAAGAGCUCAAUGUGUAAAUUUCUCACCCGAUCAAAACGUGACACCUGCAUUGCCAUCGGAGUAGCUCCGUGUGUGGCUUCUUACCUCCAAUAACUUAGAGUGUGUCAUGGAUCAAAGAAGAUUGAUCCCUGGCCUCUUCUUUUUAAUCACCGGUAGAAGGAUGGUAUUGACUUAUUGGCUGUAUUAUCGUGAAGGUUUAAACAGACCAUAGCAAGUCUAGUCCCCAUCACAUGAUACAGUGAGUGUUGAAAAGGGUCAUUGGUAUUUGUGUGAAUUUAUACUUUCACCAGCAUAUUUUAUAAAAAAUUACAAAUAUGAAAGUGAUGCAUUGCGGCUGCAUGGCUGGUUGCCUUUGUGGCAAGACUUAUCCGUCAUUUGUUAUUAACAUAUUUAUUAUUUGUUUCAUUAAUUUAAAGUAAUGAUCGAUCACUUUGAAUGUAGCCAGAAUUAAUCCUCUGGCGAUGCUAAUCGGGUGGGGAAAAUUUGAAACGGUGCAUCAUCAGUCAACUGGCUCCAUCAGGCUCCGUUAUCUGAACCAAGUGUCCUCUCAUUUUAAUUUAAUUCCCCUCCCUCUCUCUCCUUCCCUCUUCCCCUGUAUCUCACUUGCUCUCACUCUUGUUCUCUGAGGAGGAAAAUUACACCGUGAGCAGCAGUACAAAAUGAUUUUGGCAGCCUGGUUUGACAGACUCCUCCAAUCACUGUGUACGACUUCGGCGUGAUCAGACCUGUACAGUUUUACACUUAAUUUCCAAAGCUGAUAUUAAAGAUUCAUCAAUCAUUCUGCUAUAACUUUUGGAGUAAUAAAUGUCCCACAUCAAGCUGUUAAAAAGUCUGCUACCACCGGGAACUUGUCUCCUCUCUCUUUACACAGGGACUGUUUACUACUGUAGAACACCCAUGAAUAAUUAAGCUCUUAUGAAUAACUAAGACCACACAUUUAACCACACCGCAUGCUCCCUCGGGACAGGAGACAAAUCCUUCUAAUGCUCUUACCAAGGUCAGAGGUUGGGCUAAUGUCUCAUUAAAAACUCAUUUUCCCAUCAUGCUAUCAUAAGGACUGAUGGACAGCCCCAGGGUAUUGAUCCACAGUUGUUGAUCUCUCCACACUUUACACGUCAAGGUCUGUCACCAGAUCAUUGGCAGCACAAGUAUAAAUGUGAAAAUAAUCACAAAAAUAUCGUGAAUUAUAAAAAAUGACACCAGGAGGGGCUAAGGACUUUGAAUAGGACUUCCCGUUGUGGGGACUCAGAGAACCAUGGGAUUGUUGGUGGAGGUUGGCGGUUAGAACCUCCAGGAGGUUAAAUUUUACAAGUCUAGAGGAGGUGGAAGUGAAGAAUAUAAAUGGACUUGGUUUGUAUUUGUUGUACAGUUCAGAACUUGUAUGUGUUUGGUGUCUAGGCUCCAACUUAAUCACUCAAUCCUGUUCAGCUUGUACAUGGAGAAAGUGUGGAGUGAUGAGGCAACAUAGCCAAUAGAUGAUGGGGGUAGUAGUGGGGCUGAUAAUUUAAGCACAGCACUCAUGCAUGGCAGUGGUGGACACAGCAAAGCAGAGGCAGGGACUGGAAAUCUUGCCGCUUGGAUAAACUGCCAGAUUGGGAGGAUAUUUUUGUCAUGUGAUAUGUCAAUGACACUCCAGUGAACUCUGGGUUUCAUGUUUUUUUUUUUUUAGUAAGAAGUACUUAUUAUAGUACUUUUUAAAUAAAGGACUUUUUAUUUUUGCUUGAUUAGAUUCAUAGGCCUGUACUUUUUCUUCUACUUAAGUGAAAUGUCAUUCAGAUAACUUCACUUUGACUUGAGUAGAAUAGUAAAAUUUUAGUACUUUUUCCACCCUUGUUGAAAUCCAUUUGUACUCUGUCGUCCUAAAGAAGUCAAGUUGCUAUUACAAGAUGGCAACAACCAAAAUACCAACUGCAGGCUGUUCAACAGGAGAUUUAUUUACUAAUUGAUGAUGUCACUGUGGCUUUAACCACAUUUAUUAUACAGUCUAAAUACUUACAUCUUCAAACCCUCACAAAUGGAUUUAAGCUUUGCAGGCUGGCACUGACUCUGAUAAGUUUUCUUUCCAGAUCUAUUUGAAAGGAAAUCAUUCAUGUCUUUUGACUUUCUAUGCAAACAGAACAAUAGCAAGGCAACUUUGCCACUAAACAGUUUCCUAUUCAUCUUGAAGUCCUAAACAAAGAUUCUACACAUGGACUCUUAAAUCUGGAUCUAUUUGACAAAGGCUUAAUCUAAGGACAUGUAAUAUUAUCCGAAGUAUUGAUCUCUCAGUGAGGGCUGAAAUAUGGGACAGGAUACAGUAACGGUAAUCCUAGAGGAUGUACAUUGCAUUUCUGCUAUACAUACCUCCUCUAUUUUUGGUCACACACUGGUUAAUUCAAUUCAAGCUAUGCCACAAAAUUCAUCACUCCAAUGACAGACUGGCUAAGAAAUACCCCACUACGAACCCUUAUUGUUCAAGGUGCAAUAACCCAGUCUCCACGUCGUUGGCCACAUAUUUGGAUCUUGCCCCUCCAUGGUUAAUCUCUGGUCUUUGGGAUUCGAUUGCUGUUCUGUUUUUGUUCUUGGACUGAAUCCAUUCACUGCCAUCUUUUAUAUGGUACCUGUGAAAAUCCAUGCCUUAGAUACACACAACAAAGCAUUAACAUUUGGUAACCUCAUAGCAUGCAGACUUAUUGCAAUGAACCGGAAAUCUACCUUUGAGAGAUGGGUACAUGAGUUGUUGCUGGAACUUGAGAUAAUUAGACAAACACUAAUAGAGUCCCUGACAAGGUUACUGAAUGGUGGUCUCCAUUCGGUGAACAUAUUAAGGAAAUGAAUGGAGCUCUAUUUUCAUAAGGAAAAAAAAUAGAUAGACGUCUUAGUCUGUUAAGGGCGACCCAAUAAAAACAGUCAGUUGACCCACUUUGGAUUGUAUUCAGAGUUUGGGAAAGGCUGUUUUCAAGUAAUUAAACAAAAAUAUUAAAAUGGACUGUAAAGUGUGGCUCAGCUGGGAGGAGCUGCUUGGGAACACGUAGGUGAGGAGGUGUGUGUGUUCGUGUUUGAGUGUGUGCGUGUGUGUUGAUUCUGCACACUGGUGGCACUGGGGAAGUCCAGGGAGUGAAGUUCACUGUAUGAUGAAUGAUCCCUGGACUGAAAAGGGACCGAUUAAACCCUUUGCAACAAUCACCCCCCUUGCAGCCUGUGUGAAACCAUCGAGGGAAACAGCCUCUGCUCCCAGCAGUCCCGACAGCAGAGGACACACAAAGACACCCACAUACACCCACCAUUGAACGGUCAUUUUUCUGGCUGCUUUCUCACGUUGGUGUGAACAACAAUGAAAUACGUGCAUGUGGGAAAGGAAAUUAAUAAGUAAACAUGUAGUAAAAGGGGUUGAAAUGCUGUGGUGAGUGCUACAUGUACAUGUCUAAUCCUUUGCUCAUUUGAAAUUCAUGUCCAUGCAUGCUGGGGAAAUUUGCUGAUCUGGCGCUGUAUUUCAGUCAGGAGAGCAACUACGAUGAAUUUCUUUCACGCAUGAGCGUAAAGCUGUCAAAUUUCUUAAACACUGACUGCUGAUGUGUCCAAAGUUUUUUUCUGUAAAUGUCUUUCUUCCUUAAGUUCAGCAAGGUUACUACUCCUCUGUGCUGCUCAAAAACACAAACCCCUAUGGUACACACACACAGACACAAACACACACACAUACACACACGCACAUACACACAUGCACACACACAGAGGACUAGCAGACUACAGGGGCACUGACAUGGCUUUGAAGGUCACUGGCUACAAAACCAGCUCUGAUUCUCAGUGGUUUUAAUGACUUUCACACACAUUAACUUUGAGAGCACUAAAUGUAGUACUUCUCUUUUACUAUUGUGAAAAUUUCAGUGAGUUUUAUAUUCAUCUUGGGAGGGACUACCACCAUGAGGAAGGCUAAAUUCAUGAGAGAUGACCACACAUCCAUACAUGGCAUGAACCCCCCACCUCCAUAAAUCUACUUCGUUUUUACAGCUACAUCAUUGCCCACCGUAAGAAUGAAUCAGUGGGCGAUUAGUUUUUGUAAGCCGUAUUUAGGUGCAAUAUUGUGUCAGGGUGCUUGAGUUAUGGCAGGAUAUUUUGGGAGUGUCAUUGCCUUGACUGUCAAUCACAAAAAUGGCAGACACUGCUUUGAGGUUUGUGUGUCAGUUUGAUGGAUCAUGCUAUAUUUGGUAACAUUAACUAAGAAAGGAGAGAGGAUUCUUCCCUCCAAAGAGACAAAUAUGCCAAGGAGAUUAAUAAUGCUGCUGAAAUUUCACAACAGGUUGAUUUUUUUUUAAAUACAACAUAAAGUAGGAAAUAAAAUGCUGAGGACAUACAACAGAGGACCAUAGAGAUUAGCUUUUUAGACCAUUUAAGAGAUUACAGCCAGUUUUGUGAGUGCAAAAGUGUUAAUUUGCCCAAGAGAAAAGCAGUAAACAUGUUGGGGAAAAGUAAACGGUGUCUGGUCUGUGUUGUGUUGUUUCAAAAGGUUAAUGAGGUGCUUGUUCGCUCUGAGGAGAGAAGACAACGAUGCUCUUUACGGAAGAGGAGGCGUCGUACGCCUCAGGGGCCACCAUAAUGACACCCCUCAGAUCUCAUUAUCAAGCUUAUUGAUUGGUCAUGGCCACCUGCCCCUUCACCCACACACACCCAAUACACACACACACAGACUCACAACCUAAAAAUCUUUCACUGUUUCUGUAGAGAUAAAGCAUGGUUGAAUAUUGAAUUUGUUAGAGUUAGACAAUAGUUUAUAUACUGUAUGGGCUGUGAUGACUGUCUCACAAAUAUAUAAAUGCUCAAUCAUAUUUUGUUGGAUGAAAAAUCAAAUCAAAUCAGUGUCUGUAAUUUUCCUUUUAGGUUAACAAGGCAAGAGAUUUGAGUCAACAUGCCAGAUAUGGGCUCUCUUAGUCCAUUCACAGCCUCCUACAUACACACACACACACACAUACACACACACACACACACACACACACACACACACACACACAUAUAUGUGCACCCACAUUCACACACAUGUAUCAUUUAUACAAACGCCUCAGAAAGUGACACACUCCACAUUUGAACUGUUCUUGUGCAUGCCCACAUAACCACUCCACACGCGAUGAAAACACACAUACACACACUCAGAUACUCUUUAAAGUACAUGGACAGUUCCUGGCCCCAUUGUGAAGCUGCCAUUUUGUUCCAAGAGAAAAUUGCUUUAAUUAGAAUUAGCACAGUGACAAUGGGCGUCUGGCCAAGCUGUCAAAGGUUUGAACACAUUAACCACUACAUUUUCUUCUCAUUUUCCCAUGAGUCAUGUGGGAAUAUUUGAUGCCAUUCAAUAACAUGUUAGAGCUGCACUUUCCUCGUGUCUGCUCAGAAACAAUGAUUGACGAAUAUUUUUGCAUAUUUUUCCUACCAUUUUCAAGCAGCAAAGUUUUAAUUUUCACAUUUCGCUAUUCUGCCAUUUGAACCACAGUGCAAGAACAUUACAAUCAUUUGGUUUGGUAAUAUCGAGGUAGACAGAUAAGAGGUGUAUUUCCAAAUGGAGCAUCAAAUAAGCUCUUAUGGCUUGGCAAAAAUACAAAAAAAUAGUUCCAGGAAGCAGGUUGGCAAAACUCACUCAUCAAUUACAUAACUGCAGUGGAGGUGAGUCUGUGAAGACCAGAAGAACAAGAGCAUAAAUCUAAUCAAAGCAUUUUCACAUGUAGGACCCUCUGUUACACCUUUAAUGCUCUUGUUUCCCACCUGCCCCAGGCUCAAGCCCUGACCCGCUUCACUGGAGACGCAGGUGAGGGGACCUGCUCGAGUAACACCUGGCACUAAGAUGAAGGGAAGGUGGCAGGUGGUACAGACUGCACAGAUGCUGUUCGUUUCCUGCACAUGGAUGAAAGUGCAGAGAAAGGAAAGCAUGAUGGUAUGGAUUGGGUAUUUGGGGAAACGAUAUGAAAAGGUAAGAAGAACAGAGAUUUAGAAAAGAAGGUCAGAGAUGUAGUGGAUCAAUACGAGGAAAAGCCCAAGAGUUGUUCUAGUGUAAACCAAAA
This 16961-nucleotide long non-coding RNA is filed under the name Xyrichtys novacula (pearly razorfish). Lineage: Eukaryota; Metazoa; Chordata; Actinopteri; Labriformes; Labridae. The record is from RNAcentral.